AACAAAUUAAUUCAAGUUUCAUAUAGUUUAUAUUCAAUUAGCAAAAAUAUUUCGAUUAAUCAAAUUAAAUAUGUAAAGGGGAAUUUUAGGGUUCAUACGUGUGACUAUUCAACUUCUCCUCUCAGACUCAACUCUCUCUUGUUCACUCUCAAUCAAAACAGUCGCCGGAAAUCGCUUCCCGGCGGUGACCAUGGCGGAGGUGUCCCAAAAUACUAAAAACUAGCACAGUUUUGCUCAUAUCCUCCUUCCGAUUCCAAAUUUGCCAUUACUUUCUACGAUUUCCACUCAAUUCACUCCUAAAUCUGAACGAAAAUGUAAACCCUAGGUCUAAGAAGAAAUGCAAUUAAGCUUCCACGAUUAACAAUCAAGGAGCGAGAUCAUGGGAAAAUUAAUCAGAAGCCCUCAAUCUAACAUAUAACAUCAACUAAAGCGCAGAAGAAGAUGAGUGAUGGAAGGAGUGGUACUUACCUGUCGGAGAAGCUCCAACGGCUUGAACUUCGACGGCGGUGAGCAGGAAGCCGGAAACAAGACUCGACUCAACUCAGAUGUGAAGUAAACGUGGAGAGUGGCGAAUGAAGCUCCCGUUCAAUGAAGGCAAUGAGGAUGUGAUGAUGUUGAAUCGUUGCGGAGAGUUGAACUCUGAGAUUGAAGAUUGAUGAGAGGUUGCAGCGGUGGAGGAUGUGGUGAGGUUGUGGCUGAGCUCGAUUGAUAAGAGCUUCAUAUGUUGAAGCUCUAUCAAUGGUGGAUUUCUGAGCUUUUAGUGGAGGUAAGGGAGAGAGAUGAAUGUAGCAGAGAAAUGGUGUUGGUUGUGAUUGAGGAUGAAGGUCGAUGAAAAGUGAUGAAGAAAUGGUUGAAUUGAAGAGUGAAGAUGAUGAAUCCCGUGAAGAAUGAAGAUGAGAUUGAGUGUGAUGAAUGUUGAAUGGUUCAGCAGUGAAAAUGGUGGAGUGAUGGUGGAUUGAAGGUGGUUUGUGGAGCAGAGAAGAAGAAUGGUGGGGGGAGGAUUGAAGAUGAUGAAUGAAGUGGAAGAGAAAUGAUGGAUGAGUUGAAGAUGGUUCAGUAAUGAUUCUUAAUGGUUGAAAUGAAGAGAAAUGGGGAAUGAGUCGAGAGGUUCUGGAAGUGAAGGGAGAGUCAAAUGAUGAAGUGAAUUGUGGAGAGAGUGAAGAAUGGCUGAGGUUGAAGAAUAUAUAGCAGGCCUUGCUUCUGAACUAGUAUGGGUCUUUUUGUUAAUGAUGCAGGUUGGCCAAUUUGGAGCUUGUGACUUGCUAAACUGAAUCGUGAAUAAGAUGUGCAGUGUCAGUUUUGGAUUGUUGAAACCUUGUACCAGUCCACUUAGCACGACAUGAAGUUAUACAUGGAAUGAGGCGGUUCGGAGAAGAUACGAAGACGUGUCGUAGUGAAGAUGAAUGAUCAUGAAGAGGACAUUGAAGCAUAUAGCAAACAGUAGGUUUUUAGGGAGAAAAGUCUAGGAUUCAACUUUGGUAAAACAAUGUUGAUUUUGAUGAAACUUUGUAAUUUUUCUUUUGUAAUUUUCUUGAUGAUGAUGACUUGUAUCAUGAACACGGGUCAGAUUUGAAUGAGAUAAGAUUUCAUCCUCUUUGA
Vicia villosa (hairy vetch) is the source of this 1599-nucleotide long non-coding RNA. RefSeq lists it as uncharacterized. The transcript is spliced from 3 exons. The record is from RefSeq and is a predicted model, not a curated record. NCBI's taxonomy places the organism in Eukaryota, Viridiplantae, Streptophyta, Magnoliopsida, Fabales, Fabaceae.